RNAcentral lists this ribosomal RNA (253 nucleotides) under uncultured bacterium. RNAcentral's name for it is "partial 16S ribosomal RNA". It matches the Rfam family "Bacterial small subunit ribosomal RNA", at positions 524 to 776 of the family's 1533-position model. The record is from RNAcentral.
UACGGAGGGGGCGAGCGUUAUUCGGAAUUAUUGGGCGUAAAGGGCGCGUAGGCGGCUGUACAAGUCAAAGGUGAAAUCCCUCGGCUCAACUGAGGAACUGCCUUUGAAACUGUACGGCUUGAGGCCGGGAGGGGGUAGCAGAAUUCCCAGUGUAGCGGUGAAAUGCGUAGAUACUGGGAGGAACACCAGUGGCGAAGGCGGCUACCUGGACCGGUUCUGACGCUGAGGCGCGAAAGCGUGGGUAGCAAACAGG